RNAcentral lists this ribosomal RNA (128 nucleotides) under Baikiaea insignis. RNAcentral's name for it is "partial 18S ribosomal RNA". It matches the Rfam family "Eukaryotic small subunit ribosomal RNA", at positions 1713 to 1831 of the family's 1831-position model. The record is from RNAcentral. Lineage: Eukaryota; Viridiplantae; Streptophyta; Magnoliopsida; Fabales; Fabaceae.
GAUCGCGGCGACGCUGGCGGUCCGCCGCCGGCGACGUCGCGAGAAGUCCACUGAACCUUAUCAUUUAGAGGAAGGAGAAGUCGUAACAAGGUUUCCGUAGGUGAACCUGCGGAAGGAUCAUUGCCGCC